Molecule: ribosomal RNA, 247 nt
Filed under: Streptomyces goshikiensis
Lineage: Bacteria; Bacillati; Actinomycetota; Actinomycetes; Kitasatosporales; Streptomycetaceae
Description: partial 16S ribosomal RNA
Rfam family: Bacterial small subunit ribosomal RNA
Source: RNAcentral
CGGCGGGCAUGUGGCUUAUUCGACGCAACGCGAAGAACCUUACCAAGGCUUGACAUAUACCGGAAAGCAUUAGAGAUAGUGCCCCCCUUGUGGUCGGUAUACAGGUGGUGCAUGGCUGUCGUCAGCUCGUGUCGUGAGAUGUUGGGUUAAGUCCCGCAACGAGCGCAACCCUUGUCCUGUGUUGCCAGCAUGCCCUUCGGGGUGAUGGGGACUCACAGGAGACCGCCGGGGUCACUCCGGAGGAAGA